UCUGUGGCCUCAAGAGGCUUAUGUUUACCCCAAUCAUAUCUGUUUCUCCUGUUCAUUAAGCAAUUAGAUCCUACCUGUCAAAAUCCAUAGUGAUUCCUUCGUUUGUGUAUUUGAAUUUGAACUGGUAUAUCUCAGUCACUUUCUAGAAACAGCAAAGGGAAGAGAGAAAUAAAUUACUUUAAGAAAGAAAUCCUUUGGUAGUUACAAAAUAAUUGAAGGAAUGAGAUUUACAAUCUAGGAAAAG
Long non-coding RNA from Pipistrellus kuhlii (Kuhl's pipistrelle), 244 nucleotides. RefSeq lists it as uncharacterized. The transcript has 3 exons. The record is from RefSeq and is a predicted model, not a curated record. NCBI's taxonomy places the organism in Eukaryota, Metazoa, Chordata, Mammalia, Chiroptera, Vespertilionidae.